This 534-nucleotide ribosomal RNA is filed under the name uncultured bacterium. Its description in RNAcentral is "bacterial SSU rRNA". It matches the Rfam family "Bacterial small subunit ribosomal RNA", at positions 772 to 1318 of the family's 1533-position model. The record is from RNAcentral.
ACGCAAUAGAUACCCCGGUAGUCCACGCCGUAAACUAUGGAUGCUAGCUGUUAGAAGUAUCGACCCUUCUAGUAGCGAAAGCUAACGCGUUAAGCAUCCCGCCUGUGGAGUACGAGCGCAAGCUUAAAACAUAAAGGAAUUGACGGGGACCCGCACAAGCGGUGGAGCGUGUUGUUUAAUUCGAUGGUAAGCGAAGAACCUUACCCAGGCUUGACAUCCUUGGAAGGCUUCCGAAAGGAAUCUGUGCCCUCGGGAACCAAGUGACAGGUGAUGCAUGGCCGUCGUCAGCUCGUGUCGUGAGAUGUUUGGUUAAGUCCAUCAACGAGCGCAACCCUUGUUGUCUGUUGUAUUUUUCAGGCAAGACUGCCCUGGUAACAGGGAGGAAGGAGGGGAUGAUGUCAGGUCAGUAUUUCCCUUACGUCUGGGGCUACAAACACGCUACAAUGGCCGGUACAAAGGGCUGCCAACCCGCGAGGGGGUAGCAAAUCUCAUCAAAGCCGGUCUCAGUUCGGAUAGCAGGCUGAAACUCGCCUG